GGAUGAAUGGCUGAGCGGUUUAAAGCACCAAUUUUGAAAAUUGGCAUAAAUACUUAUCGUGGGUUCGAAUCCUACUUCAUCCG
This 83-nucleotide transfer RNA is filed under the name Gloiopeltis furcata. Its description in RNAcentral is "tRNA-Ser". It matches the Rfam family "tRNA". Rfam says of the family: Transfer RNA (tRNA) molecules are approximately 80 nucleotides in length. Their secondary structure includes four short double-helical elements and three loops (D, anti-codon, and T loops). The record is from RNAcentral. Lineage: Eukaryota; Rhodophyta; Florideophyceae; Gigartinales; Endocladiaceae.